RNAcentral lists this ribosomal RNA (477 nucleotides) under uncultured bacterium. RNAcentral describes it as "partial 16S ribosomal RNA". It matches the Rfam family "Bacterial small subunit ribosomal RNA", at positions 29 to 507 of the family's 1533-position model. The record is from RNAcentral.
AUGAACGCUGGCGGCGUGCUUAACACAUGCACGUCGAACGGGAAACCUUUUAUUGAAGCUUCGGCAGAUUUAGCUGGUUUCUAGUGGCGGACGGGUGAGUAACGCGUGGGUAACCUGCCUUAUACAGGGGGAUAACAACCAGAAAUGGUUGCUAAUACCGCAUAAGCGCACAGGACCGCAUGGUCCGGUGUGAAAAACUCCGGUGGUAUAAGAUGGACCCGCGUUGGAUUAGCUAGUUGGCAGGGUAACGGCCUACCAAGGCGACGAUCCAUAGCCGGCCUGAGAGGGUGAACGGCCACAUUGGGACUGAGACACGGCCCAGACUCCUACGGGAGGCAGCAGUGGGGAAUAUUGCACAAUGGGGGAAACCCUGAUGCAGCGACGCCGCGUGAAGGAAGAAGUAUCUCGGUAUGUAAACUUCUAUCAGCAGGGAAGAUAGUGACGGUACCUGACUAAGAAGCCCCGGCUAACUACGUG